This 840-nucleotide long non-coding RNA is filed under the name Prunus persica (peach). RNAcentral's name for it is "long non-coding RNA (PPER_LNC003041)". Lineage: Eukaryota; Viridiplantae; Streptophyta; Magnoliopsida; Rosales; Rosaceae. The record is from RNAcentral.
GCACAAGCCACACUGGCAUAAACUACCCAAAAUAGUUGAUACAAAUGUGGAAGCACAAUAACCACGUAAGGUUAUUAGUGGCAUAAAGCCAUAUAAAUUUCGAAAAAGCCACAAGCCGAAACAAAUUAGACAUGGACCGCAGCGCCCAAAACUAUCAAUACAACUCAACUUUUAAACUCUCACAAGUAAAAAUACAAGUAGAGACUCAACUACAAACAAAAUACCCAACUCAUAAAAGAGAUGUAAUUAUUACAACAACAAAAAACUGCAAAACCAAUCGAGAUGACAGAAAGUAGAGUUGCCGCCGUCGCCACCACGAAAACAAGAACACUACCGUCGAAGCCCAAGUUGAGGGGAAAACAGCAGCCACACAGGAACCUACAAAAAAAACACACAAACCCCACAGAUUUGCAAAAAGAACCCCAAACAACACUAAGAUAAAGCCACAAAAUAAAGGGGCAUCAUAAGGUGAGAGAGAUUUAAGGAGAUCCGGGGCAAUAAGAAAGUAGGGCAGAAAGCACAAUCAAACCCUCCAAGGGUCAAAAAUAACCACAAACUCAACCAAAAAACCAAACAGAAGGCCAGAGAAAAGAGUGAGAAAGGGGAGGAGAGAAGAUAGAGAAGGCGAAGAAAGGACAAGGGAGGAAAGGCAAUGACCUUCCUUCCCUCUCCCCUAUGAUAGGAGCGGCAGCUAUAAUUUGAGAGGCAGAGAAGUGGAGAGCGUUUGAGAGAAAAUUUUGAUAAAAACGUUCACACUAGCAUCCACAAUUGGCUCUCUAAACUACCUCCUUAGAAAAAUUUUAGGGAGGAAUUGUAAAAAAGCAACUCCAACCAUGCUCC